Molecule: non-coding RNA, 125 nt
Organism: Triticum aestivum (bread wheat)
Lineage: Eukaryota; Viridiplantae; Streptophyta; Magnoliopsida; Poales; Poaceae
Source: Rfam
CCUGUACUCUCUCCGUCCUGAAUUAUUUGUUGUAGAAAUGAAUAAAAAUAGAUAUAUCUACAACUAAAAUACAUCUAUAUAUAUUCAUUUUUACGACAAGUAAUUUCAGACGGAGGGAGUAGUAC